AUGGGGACGGGGCCGGGCACGGAGGCGUCGGGGGAGAAGAGAGAAGGGGCCGUGCCGGCGGGCAAGGUGGUGGCCGGAAGGGGGCGACGGGAGCCGGGGACGACAGCCGGCUGGGGCGACGAGAGGCGGGGAGCAGAGGCGUACGAGAGAGAAGGGAGACAGAUCGUGGUGGGGGUGGCUCUCAGGAGGAUAAGGGAGAGAGAGACUAGGUUCACUGGUGUUUCUCGACUGGAAAGGGUGGUAAGACUAUCUAUUAACUGUCCUGAUGGCACAAGGAAGAAGCUUUUGGGAUCGCAGCAAAUGGAUGAAAGGCGUGAUUGGAAGCGCCAGUUGGUUCAAACUUUGGUGGACAAGUAUAAUGAUUACCACCAUCUUUCAGGGGAUCUUGCAUAUGAACUCAAAGAUGUUGUGCGCUUCAAAUCAGUUGCUGGGGGCAAUGGCCAUAGGUACUAUCAUAUUAAUUUCACAAUGAAGACUAAAGGAGCUGAUGAUAGUAACUCUGGUGGUGAAGAUUUAUUCUUUGCUGAGGUCAAAAUCAAGGGUGGAGAAUAUGUAGAACUGGUGGUCAGCUGUUUCUGCAUGGUUGAACCUACUGACAAUGGUGUGGUGUACUCUUCUUUUACCUUACAUAUCCUUCUUUCCCCCGUCAGUUGUCAGUCAUUCCCUUUGGUUGUGCUUUGUUGA
This 684-nucleotide ribosomal RNA is filed under the name Triticum aestivum (bread wheat). RNAcentral's name for it is "partial small subunit ribosomal RNA". The record is from RNAcentral. Lineage: Eukaryota; Viridiplantae; Streptophyta; Magnoliopsida; Poales; Poaceae.